GGUGAGCAUGCCAUGGUAUUGAAGGCACCCGGUGUUGUGUUAUUUGGUGUCCCAUUGUCAAAAGCUGGCGCUUUUGUGUACAAACACUGGUCUCUCGUGAACUGCGCAUGCUCAGACCAUUAAGUGUAGACCUGUACAGUCUCACAAUGUUUUUUUAACACAUUAAGAGUUGCUGGAAAAGGCGGAAAAUGUGUGAUAUAUACAAGAUAAGAGGCGGCCAUCAGCUUAACGUGUGAACUUUUAUCAUCGAUACUCAGUAAGCCCUUUGACCUCUACCGAGUGAAGAAUUAAGGGGGAUCGACCUGAUAUAUGAGGUCAGAUGAGGCGUGAAUGUCGUAAACAAUGAAUUAGGUUUAGGGGUGAGCUCACAAAGGCGACCGUGUGACCUUAUUUAAAUGGCCGCCGUGGUCGUUCAGAAGCUCAUCGUUUUUUACUGAUUUCCGGUAAAGUAGAGUACGUGGCGGCACGGGGCUUGAGGGGCAGGGCGACACGUGCAUUGUAUUCCUGUGUGUGAAGUUGGAGAGCGGGAUAUAAGCCGAACACAGGCUGGGGAAGGAGACGGUGGCUGAGUGGUUAGCGUGCCGGUCCUGCGUUCGCCGCAUCAUGGAUGAGGAGGGUUUGAAUCCACUGCUGCCACAGGCUACUUGUCCUGAAGACCACCACCAUCAUCCUGGACUGUAUGGGACUGUCCAAGGGAAAGCAAGAUGGGGCCGCUAUAAACACUUGCCGGCUUGGGCCCACCACCAGGCCCAGCCAAGGGAGGUUGGUGUAGCAGUGCCGGGAGGUGCCAUAACACAGGGCACUCCUCACCUCAACAACAGUCUCUUCACCGACAAGUAAUUCUUCACCAACAAGCUUUUCAGCAGCCUGGAGAAAUAGACACUACCAAACGAAGAAGAGGAGGAGGAGGAGGACUGGGAAGAAGACGAGGAACACAGGAGGAACCCAUUGAGAGAACAAGAAGAAGAAGAAGAAGAAGAAGAAGAGGAGGACACAGGAAUUCCUUGGUUGGUGUAGCAGUGCCGGGAGGUGCCAUAACACAGGGCACUCCUCACCUCAACAACAGUCUCUUCACCGACAAGUAAUUCUUCGCCAACAAGCUUUUCAGCAGCUUGGAGAAAUAGACACUACCAAACAAAGAAGAGGAGGAGGAGGAGGAAGAAGAAGACGAGGAACACAGGAGGAACCCAUUGAGACAAGAAGAAGAAGAAGAGGAAGAAGAGGAAGAGGAAGACUGACAGACAGACAUUCCAUUGAGACAAGAAGAAGAAGAAGAGGAAGAAGAGGAAGAGGAAGACUGACAGACAGACAUUCCAUUGAGUGUGCGGUGUCCCGCAGGCAGGCAGACCGAGACGCCAGCCAUUCAAUUCUGCCGAGGGAAGGAAGUCGUGUUAGUCAACUCUGAUGACUUGUACUUUUCUCUGCAAGGGACUGUUCUGUAAGCCAGUCACAGAAGAUGUGAACUGUAUCUGUACUAUGAAGUCUUAUAAAUAAAGUUAAAGGCUACA
Eriocheir sinensis (Chinese mitten crab) is the source of this 1508-nucleotide long non-coding RNA. RefSeq lists it as uncharacterized. NCBI's taxonomy places the organism in Eukaryota, Metazoa, Arthropoda, Malacostraca, Decapoda, Varunidae. The transcript is spliced from 10 exons. The record is from RefSeq and is a predicted model, not a curated record.